RNAcentral lists this ribosomal RNA (459 nucleotides) under uncultured bacterium. RNAcentral describes it as "partial 16S ribosomal RNA". It matches the Rfam family "Bacterial small subunit ribosomal RNA", at positions 338 to 795 of the family's 1533-position model. The record is from RNAcentral.
ACUACGGGUGGCAGCAGUGAGGAAUAUUGGUCAAUGGGAGAGAUCCUGAACCAGCCAAGCCGCGUGAGGGAAGACGGCCCUAUGGGUUGUCAACCUCUUUUGUCGGAGAACCAAACCCGGGACGUGUCCCGGACUGCGUGUAUCCGAAGCAAAAGCAUCGGCUAACUCCGUGCAAGCAGCCGCGGUAAUACGGAGGAUGCGAGCGUUAUCCGGAUUUAUUGGGUUUAAAGGGUGUGUAGGCGGUCCGUUAAGUCAGCGGUAAACUUGCGGGGCUCAACCCCGUCGAGCCGUUGAAACUGGCAGACUUGAGUUGGCGAGAAGUACGCGGAAGGCGCGGAGUAGCGGUGAAAUGCAUAGAUAUCGCGCAGAACUCCGAUUGCGAAGGCAGCGUACCGGCGCCAGACUGACGCUGAGGCACGAAAGCGUGGGGAUCGAACAGGAUUAGAUACCCGGAUAGUC